ACUUCAGCCACAGGAGCUCCUGCAUGGGCACAGGCUCCGGCCAGGCCGUGUCUCUGGCUGGUUUGGUCGGGCAAAUCAGUGACCCUCGUUUCUCCUGCAAAAUGCCGAGGAGACUGAUGGAAGCAGGCAAGUUCCCACCAAUGGCCUCCUGCAGGACUGAAGGAACACAGACAGCAGGUGCAGGACGACAACCCCUUUUCUCCACCUCCGCUCAAGCCAAGCCUUCCCGGCAACUUGCAGCUCCUCUUCUCCAACCUGAGGCCAGUACCAGCUCUCAGAGGCUUGUCCCCACAAGCCCUUCCUGCCACCGGAAGCCCCCCACCCCCGAACGCGGCUCUCACACCAAAGGUGACCCGGGAACGGAUGGGUACUUCAUCCCCGCAGUUUCUGACACGGCGCCACCGUCUUUCAACUUCCCCUACCAACGGGGUCAAGUUGUCGGCCAGCCUGGACUGCCGGCCGUUAGCCUGACACCAGGAGCAGCCUCAAAACAAAUUAAAUGAGGCAGGGAGGCCGAGUGGUGAUCAUUCCAUUACGGCCCCUCUGCUUCCUCUCCGCACAUGACCCACGCCAUCCUUUUUAGAAGGUGAGGCGUCUUAUUGAAUCAGCACUUAAUCUACUCGCAGCGCCAUGGAGGAGGGGCAAGGGGACAGGUCCCCUGAUCCUUUUAUUUUUCUGAGGACCUCGCUUGGAGACAGCCUGGGUAGGGGGGAGGAUGAAUUGUGAGGAACCUUGACCCUGUUUCAGAGGCCUGAAAGAUGGCGAUUAAUUUUAUCCCGUUUCCUGCCAUUCACCCUCAAAACUGAAAUGUGCAUCAGGACCUGCUUCACGGCCUUGGGUUUUUCUGCUUGUUACAAACCUUGAGACUAGACCCCUCCAGACGGUUACCGCUGAGGGCUCCGGAGCCUUAAAAGCAGAGAAGAAAACACUCCUUUAUCUGCAAGCGUCUCCUUUUCUUCUACUGCCACUGCGACUGCGGCUGUGGGGAUGUGCUUUACAGAGUGAGCGUAAAUGAGAAAACACUCAGUUAGCUUCUGACGGCCAGUGCUGGAUGUAUCAGUUUGCCCUAUAAAUAAGCACUGAUCACCUCCAUUUUAUUGAACUCAUUUUCCAGGCAAGCAAAGACCACAAGAUUCUUCUGCACAUUUUCUCUUUACACCCUCUAGUACCGCUGCUAGCGUCAACUCCGACAGAUUUAUAGCCCAUUCAUUCAUGGGAACAAAAACCCUGCCACGGCUGGUCAUGGGACACGCAAUAGCAGUUAGUUCAAAAGAUAACAGCUGCAAUACCUCACCUCCCCAUUCAGCACUACAGAGCCGGCACUACUUUGGAGAUGUCUGCUGACCUGACCCGCAGAGCAAAAACAAAAACACAUCUACAUUCCUGGGCUGGAGAGAUUUGGUUCAAACGAUGUACAAAUGGGUCAUGAUGAAAAGUGAUUCUAGCAACUGGCCAAGUGUCCCAAAGAAUCCUUUGCAUUCAGUAGUUGGGUUGGCAGCAGGAGGAAAGGUAGUGCUCAUCCCAUGCAGAGAGUCUCCUAGCUUGAAGGAGGGAAGGAAUUGAGACGAGACUGAACUGUGAGGGAGUGACAGGUGGGCAGACAGCUGGGGAGAAGGAACCAGCACCCAGGAGCCGGUGAGCACACCCUGCAUCCUCAGAUACACAGCCUGGGCAAACACCUGUGGCCACAGAGGAUGGCUCUGCACCGGGACACAUAAUAUGACCAGCACGGAAACCCAGCCGGGAGGGUGGGUUGUGCUGCCCUGUUUCCCUGCCUCCCUUCUGCACGGCACCUGCAUACAUGAGACCUACAGGAAGUAUCUGUGGCAUCGACCAUGAACUCGGGGGAGAGGCGUCUGAGCUGGAGGGGCAAGUGGGUGGAGUGGGAUCCGCCAGGUGCAGGCCCCUGAGGCCAAAAUGAGAUGGCUGAGAAGGUAAGCCGGAGAGGGGGGAGGAGACAGGGAGAAGUUUCAGGGAACUGCACGUGGACAGCGUGUCUGCAGGGCAUUGCUAUGGCAAAAAAACGCCAGGGACCCUGAGAAGGUCACCUGACCCUCUCAGGUAGAUUGACAAGGGCUGUUAAGGAGUUUGGGCUUUAUGCUCAAGGAAAUUAGGCGCUGUUUUAAGCAAGGGAGGGACAUGACCCAAUUUGCCCUCUGGAAAUAUCAGUGUGGCAGCAGUGAGGGAAAGGAGUGGAAGGGCUAGAAUGGGAACAGAAUGGAGGACAGAACAGGGGCUGGGAGGCAGCAUAAGCCCCCGCCCCCAUGGCCCCCCAACAACUGGGACGUCCCCAGUGCUGGAGCAAGUCCUCUGAGGAGAGGGCGGGGGCAAGCCUAGGAAGGAGGGGCAGCGGGCAGGGGUGGCGGAGGCCGCAGGUGUGUUUCCGAAGGACACUGGUGCCGUGUACAGAAGGCGUGCUAAGCUGCUGGUGGGGAAUGGAGGCAGAGGGCAGCUCUAGGAGACAGGACGGAGGCAGACCUCUCCUCGCCCUCUACGUCGGGGCACAGGGUUGUAGGGAGGACACAGGGAGGUCCCUGAGGACCGGCCCAAACACAGAAGCUCCAGGAGGGAACCACUGAAAGAUGAUCCUCCUUUAUCAAAAUCCAGUUUGGCAAGGCUGUGAAGGAUGCCCCACUGUGAGCCCCCAGAGCCCACGUGCAGCUCCCAGCCAGGGACACAAAGGCACGGCUCUGGAGCCAGCACGUGCUCCAGAGACCCCUCCUCCCACACCGGUGCCCAGCACGUGCCUUGUCCCCGACUCAGCUGCAGAUGCAGGGACUCUCCCGGGAUAGGGAAGGGAGCAAGGGGCAGGCUUUGAAUCUUUGCGUGCCGCAAGGAAGAAAAUCAAUUGCAAUGCCCAGAGGAGGGAAUUACUGCAGCAGAAGGUCACCAACUACUACGAGUUGCUGUAUUGUCUUGGAGACUUGGACAGGGGAAAAAUGUCUCAAAGUGAGGUAAGAAUGCUCUGAGGUCUGAUGCAAACCGCUCCCCAAGAAUAACGUGAGACAGUCCCGGGGGACGGGACCACACAAAGGAAGAGGUUUCUUUGUGCACGUACAACCGUGGAGGAAUUCCAGACUCCGGCUCCAGCCACCUCCAGCAAGUUCUCAACUGUAGCUGCGGAGUUCUGACACAUGUUCAAUCUUGGGGAAGCAGGCUGACAUUUUAACAGCUUUGUUACGGUAGCAGCAAAGCCCAUGGCGGUGGCCACUUCACUUGGGUUUGAGAGACACGCCUCACAGCCCAGCCUCCACGCCCUAGAGCUCUCCAGUUAAUGCCAGUUUCCCUGAGCACAAUGCAAGGAUGCUAGGUGUGUGCCUGAGAUGUGACUUCUAGGUCCCCCGCGGCAAAGAUGGGACGACCCUAUCUGUGCCCACGUGCCUUGUCUUUCCUUGGGGCCAGUGCAACAGAGGACAAGCAAAACAGAGGUCAAAUGAAAGGUCACUGGGCUGGACGUUUAAAAUCCCGUUUCUAGGGGCAGAGAUGACAAGACAGCUGGAGCCCACCUUCUUGUCCAGGCGAUGCACAGAUGAGUGAGUGGUCGGCCAGUCUGUGUCCCAGGAUUAUGGAGAAAAGAGAUGUCACAGGUCCUUUGAGGCUGCCACUCCCUGGGCCAUUUGCAUCAAGUCCCAAACCCUUCUGGAUAGUAGGAGGCAGUACCUCAGCCUUGUUUCCUGAUAUUCAAAGUUAGAGAAACCCAUGCAGUAGACUAUGGGGACCCCAGCCAAGACCAAGAGGCCAUGAAAGGCGAGGAAGCUUCUGGGACAAAGACACCUCGAGAAAGUGGGAGUCCGGGCAGGCAAGCGCAGUACACAGUGUGAGUAGGGGACAUCUUGGUGGCUCUCCUCCCUUAUGGCACCUUUUGCCAGGGCUUCUGAGAGAAAACAUCUGUGGACCAGUGCUCCUCCUAGCAGAGGGGCCAGAGUAACCCAGAGGUAACGAGGGAGGGCCGAGCAGGAGCCAGCCUGCAGCUCAGCAACUGCCUGCAAGCCACACCCUCAGGCUGCUCAUAGCCUGGGAAGAAUUAAGAUUAAAUUAAAAACUGGUGAGAUGGCACCAAAAGCACAAUCCGUAAACG
Molecule: non-coding RNA, 4078 nt
Organism: Microcebus murinus (gray mouse lemur)
Lineage: Eukaryota; Metazoa; Chordata; Mammalia; Primates; Cheirogaleidae
Source: RefSeq, a predicted model, not a curated record